RNAcentral lists this ribosomal RNA (498 nucleotides) under uncultured bacterium. RNAcentral describes it as "bacterial SSU rRNA". It matches the Rfam family "Bacterial small subunit ribosomal RNA", at positions 34 to 507 of the family's 1533-position model. The record is from RNAcentral.
CGCUGGCGGCGUGCUUAACACAUGCAAGUCGAACGAGAAUCACUGGAAGGAGUUUUCGGACAACGGAAGGUGAGGACAGUGGCGGACGGGUGAGUAACGCGUGAGGAACCUGCCUUUCAGAGGGGGACAACAGUUGGAAACGACUGCUAAUACCGCAUGACACAUAGAGAUCGCAUGGUUUUUAUGUCAAAGAUUUAUCGCUGAAAGAUGGCCUCGCGUCUGAUUAGCUAGUUGGUGAGGUAACGGCCCACCAAGGCGACGAUCAGUAGCCGGUCUGAGAGGAUGAACGGCCACAUUGGAACUGAGACACGGUCCAGACUCCUACGGGAGGCAGCAGUGGGGAAUCUUCCGCAAUGGGCGAAAGCCUGACGGAGCAACGCCGCGUGAGUGAAGAAGGUCUUCGGAUCGUAAAGCUCUGUUGUCGGGGACGAAUGUUGAGACCAAGAACAUAGGUUUCAAAUGACGGUACCUGACGAGGAAGCCACGGCUAACUACGUG